RNAcentral lists this ribosomal RNA (254 nucleotides) under uncultured bacterium. Its description in RNAcentral is "partial 16S ribosomal RNA". It matches the Rfam family "Bacterial small subunit ribosomal RNA", at positions 524 to 776 of the family's 1533-position model. The record is from RNAcentral.
UACGGAGGGUGCGAGCGUUGUCCGGAAUCACUGGGCGUAAAGGGCGCGUAGGCGGCUCACGCAAGCGUGCGGUGAAAGCCCGGGGCCCAACCCCGGGUCGGCCGUGCGGACUGCGGGGCUUGAGCACUGUAGGGGCAGAUGGAAUUCCGGGUGUAGCGGUGGAAUGCGUAGAGAUCCGGAAGAACACCGGUGGCGAAGGCGGUCUGCUGGGCAGUGGCUGACGCUGAGGCGCGACAGCGUGGGGAGCAAACAGG